This 486-nucleotide ribosomal RNA is filed under the name uncultured bacterium. RNAcentral describes it as "bacterial SSU rRNA". It matches the Rfam family "Bacterial small subunit ribosomal RNA", at positions 28 to 526 of the family's 1533-position model. The record is from RNAcentral.
GACGAACGCUGGCGGCGCGCUUAACACAUGCAAGUCGAACGGUGAACGGGGCUUCGGCCCCGGGAUCAGUGGCGAACGGGUGCGUAACACGUGGGCAACCUGCCCCAGACCCUGGGAUAACCCCGGGAAACCGGAGCUAAUACCGGAUACUCCGACCGAACCGCAUGGCUCGGCCGGGAAAGGUCCGCCGGUCUGGGAUGGGCCCGCGGCCUAUCAGCUUGUUGGUGGGGUAACGGCCCACCAAGGCGACGACGGGUAGCUGGUCUGAGAGGACGACCAGCCACACUGGGACUGAGAUACGGCCCAGACUCCUACGGGAGGCAGCAGUGGGGAAUCUUGCACAAUGGGCGAAAGCCUGAUGCAGCGACGCCGCGUGAGGGACGAAGGCCCUCGGGUUGUAAACCUCUUUCGGCAGGGACGAAGCGAUCGUGACGGUACCUGCAGAAGAAGCCUCGGCUAACUACGUGCCAGCCGCCGCCGUAACAC